UGUAGCCUACGGGAGGCAGCAGUGGGGAAUAUUGCACAAUGGGCGAAAGCCUGAUGCAGCAACGCCGCGUGAAGGAAGAAGGGUUUCGGCUCGUAAACUUCUAUCAACAGGGACGAAAGAAAUGACGGUACCUGAAUAAGAAGCCCCGGCUAACCACGUGCCAGCAGCCGCGGUAAUACGUAGGGGGCAAGCGUUAUCCGGAUUUACUGGGGGUAAAGGGGGAGCAGACGGCGAUGCAAGCCAGGAGUGAAAGCCCGGG
Molecule: ribosomal RNA, 259 nt
Filed under: uncultured bacterium
Lineage: Bacteria
Description: partial 16S ribosomal RNA
Rfam family: Bacterial small subunit ribosomal RNA
Source: RNAcentral